GCCGAGGUGGCGGAACUGGUAGACGCGCCGGACUCAAAAUUCGGUAGUGGCAACGCUGUGGGGGUUCGAUUCCCCCUCUCGGUA
This 84-nucleotide transfer RNA is filed under the name Coxiella endosymbiont of Amblyomma nuttalli. Its description in RNAcentral is "tRNA-Leu". It matches the Rfam family "tRNA". Rfam says of the family: Transfer RNA (tRNA) molecules are approximately 80 nucleotides in length. Their secondary structure includes four short double-helical elements and three loops (D, anti-codon, and T loops). Lineage: Bacteria; Pseudomonadati; Pseudomonadota; Gammaproteobacteria; Legionellales; Coxiellaceae. The record is from RNAcentral.